RNAcentral lists this unclassified non-coding RNA (340 nucleotides) under soil metagenome. Its description in RNAcentral is "partial contains 5.8S ribosomal RNA, internal transcribed spacer 2, and large subunit ribosomal RNA". The stretch from base 1 to 120 matches the Rfam family "5.8S ribosomal RNA", at positions 35 to 154 of the family's 154-position model. The record is from RNAcentral.
GAUGAAGAACGCAGCGAAAUGCGAUACGUAAUGUGAAUUGCAGAAUUCAGUGAAUCAUCGAGUCUUUGAACGCACAUUGCGCCCCCUGGUAUUCCGGGGGGCAUGCCUGUCCGAGCGUCAUUGCUGCCCUCAAGCCCGGCUUGUGUGUUGGGCCUUGCUCCCCCGGGGGCAGGCCCGAAAGGCAGUGGCGGCACCGCGUCCGAUCCUCGAGCGUAUGGGGCUUUGUCACCCGCUCUGUAGGCCCGGCCGGCGCUUGCCGACCCCAAUCAAUCUUUUUUCAGGUUGACCUCGGAUCAGGUAGGGAUACCCGCUGAACUUAAGCAUAUCAAUAAGCGGAGGA